GGGACACGUGGUAUCCUGUCUGAAUAUGGGGGGACCAUCCUCCAAGGCUAAAUACUCCUGACUGACCGAUAGUGAACCAGUACCGUGAGGGAAAGGCGAAAAGAACCCCGGCGAGGGGAGUGAAAAAGAACCUGAAACCGUGUACGUACAAGCAGUGGGAGCCUCUUAAUGGGGUGACUGCGUACCUUUUGUAUAAUGGGUCAGCGACUUAUAUUCUGUAGCAAGGUUAACCGAAUAGGGGAGCCGAAGGGAAACCGAGUCUUAACUGGGCGCUAAGUUGCAGGGUAUAGACCCGAAACCCGGUGAUCUAGCCAUGGGCAGGUUGAAGGUUGGGUAACACUAACUGGAGGACCGAACCGACUAAUGUUGAAAAAUUAGCGGAUGACUUGUGGCUGGGGGUGAAAGGCCAAUCAAACCGGGAGAUAGCUGGUUCUCCCCGAAAGCUAUUUAGGUAGCGCCUCGUGAAUUCAUCUCCGGGGGUAGAGCACUGUUUCGGCAAGGGGGUCAUCCCGACUUACCAACCCGAUGCAAACUGCGAAUACCGGAGAAUGUUAUCACGGGAGACACACGGCGGGUGCUAACGUCCGUCGUGAAGAGGGAAACAACCCAGACCGCCAGCUAAGGUCCCAAAGUCAUGGUUAAGUGGGAAACGAUGUGGGAAGGCCCAGACAGCCAGGAUGUUGGCUUAGAAGCAGCCAUCAUUUAAAGAAAGCGUAAUAGCUCACUGGUCGAGUCGGCCUGCGCGGAAGAUGUAACGGGGCUAAACCAUG
Molecule: ribosomal RNA, 770 nt
Filed under: Escherichia coli
Lineage: Bacteria; Pseudomonadati; Pseudomonadota; Gammaproteobacteria; Enterobacterales; Enterobacteriaceae
Description: partial 23S ribosomal RNA
Rfam family: Bacterial large subunit ribosomal RNA
Source: RNAcentral